CCAUCACCCAAGACAUGGCUGCUCUUUUGAUGCAAGGUGUGGGAGAGGGAGGGUAAAGCUCCUCUCCAUACGAGAAAGAAAAGGAGGGAUAAAGGAGAUGAGAGCUUGGAAAGGGGGGAUAAGAUAGAAAGAAAGGCAGGAACACAAAGGAAGAUAAAGGCGGCCGUGUGCUCCUUUCAAGGAUUAAAAGGAGGAGACAAGGGGGAAUUAAAGGCCCCGGAGUCCCCCCAGCUCAAAGCCAAUGGAGAAGAGACGGCACGCACACAGAGAGGAGGUGACGAUACUCGCCUAGAUCUACGCAAAGAAUAAAAGGUUCGCCAUGGCGGUAUCCAAGAACAAGAAAGCCUGCCGCGGCGAGGCAGAUAGAUCAUCGUGCUCACACCCACAUACAUACUCCUAUAAGAAAGCAAGAGCUCCAGGACCAAGGCGCAGGCCAGGGAGAGGCGGAGAACAAGACCACCAAGAUCCAAGCCGGCAGAUUAUAGCUUACCUGAUGCCACUGCGCCGCAUCCAUGCAUGCAAGGAUCCCAAUUCCGCUCCUCGCCAGCGGUUCUCCCGUGUGGUGGUUGUUGCCUCCGAGGGGCGAGGAAGAAGACGUACGAGCUGAGGACGACUACGACGACGAGGACGAGGACGAGGCGCAGGAGGAAGGAGGAGGAGGAGCGUACUGGAGCUGGAUGGGACGGGCGAGGGAGGAGGAAUGUCCUGUGUAGUGGAAUUGCUCCCCGGCCCCCUUCUCUAGUCUUCUCCUUCAUAUGUCAUGAGACGAGAUAGUGCGAUUCUUUUUCUCGCAAUAUUUUUAUGCGUCUAGCUAGGCUCGCUCGCUGGAGGCUGCUGCUGCUGCUGGUGCUGGAGCGAAGCGAAGCGAGGAGGAAGAGCAACCGAAAUCGGUGCCCCGGCAGUUUUCGGAAACGCGUCAAAAAAUUUCGUCCAUGUAACGCUUUUCCAAGCGUGCUAGCUUUGUCCGUGUACGUAGCGAUUUUUUUU
Molecule: long non-coding RNA, 987 nt
Organism: Zea mays
Lineage: Eukaryota; Viridiplantae; Streptophyta; Magnoliopsida; Poales; Poaceae
Exons: 2
Source: RefSeq, a predicted model, not a curated record